Rhododendron vialii is the source of this 185-nucleotide long non-coding RNA. RefSeq lists it as uncharacterized. NCBI's taxonomy places the organism in Eukaryota, Viridiplantae, Streptophyta, Magnoliopsida, Ericales, Ericaceae. The transcript is spliced from 3 exons. The record is from RefSeq and is a predicted model, not a curated record.
GAGGGAAGGAGAAGAAGGAAAAAAAAACCUAGGUGCAGGGCUGUUCUUCACGAAAUUAUUCAAGGUGUCAAGCCGGUCAAUUGGGAGGUGCCAAAACCAUAAGUUUAGCGUAUCUCGGUCGAUACAAAGGUGACAGGUUGCUUAGAGUGGGUCCACUACCGGUCGUCGUGUUGAGGUGUUGAGGU